Molecule: ribosomal RNA, 403 nt
Filed under: Verrucomicrobiota bacterium
Lineage: Bacteria; Pseudomonadati; Verrucomicrobiota
Description: Verrucomicrobia bacterium partial 16S ribosomal RNA
Rfam family: Bacterial small subunit ribosomal RNA
Source: RNAcentral
UGGGGAAUAUUGCACAAUGGGGGAAACCCUGAUGCAGCGACGCCGCGUGAGCGAAGAAGGUUUUCGAAUCGUAAAGCUCUGUCCUAUGAGAAGAUAAUGACGGUAUCAUAGGAGGAAGCCCCGGCUAAAUACGUGCCAGCAGCCGCGGUAAUACGUAUGGGGCGAGCGUUGUCCGGAAUUAUUGGGCGUAAAGGGUACGUAGGCGGUCUAUUAAGUCAGGUGUGAAAGCGUGAGGCUUAACCUCAUUAAGCACUUGAAACUGAUAGACUUGAGUGAAGGAGAGGAAAGUGGAAUUCCUAGUGUAGCGGUGAAAUGCGUAGAUAUUAGGAGGAAUACCGGUGGCGAAGGCGACUUUCUGGACUUUUACUGACGCUCAGGUACGAAAGCGUGGGGAGCAAAAAGG